RNAcentral lists this ribosomal RNA (253 nucleotides) under uncultured bacterium. Its description in RNAcentral is "partial 16S ribosomal RNA". It matches the Rfam family "Bacterial small subunit ribosomal RNA", at positions 524 to 776 of the family's 1533-position model. The record is from RNAcentral.
UACAGAGGUCUCAAGCGUUGUUCGGAUUCAUUGGGCGUAAAGGGGGCGUAGGUGGCGAGGUUAGUCAGGUGUGAAAUCUCGGGGCUCAACCCCGAAACUGCACUUGAUACUGCCUUGCUAGAGUACUGGAGAGGAGAUUGGAAUUUACGGUGUAGCAGUGAAAUGCGUAGAUAUCGUAAGGAAGACCAGUGGCGAAGGCGAAUCUCUGGACAGUUACUGACACUGAGGCACGAAGGCCAGGGGAGCAAACGGG